GCAUGACAAUAAUCAGUGAAUAUUUAGGACUAACAUAAGUAUACAAUAUUGACAGCUAAAAGCAACAGUUAUAUGCACAGUUGUAAACAAGAUUUAUGAUGAGACACUUCACUUAGAAACCAAAUUCACAGAGAAGACAGAGCUUCACAGAACACAGCAGCACAGCGUAAAGCAAUAAAAACUUUGGCUGACAGUCAAAUAAAACUGAAUUAACUCUUUCACUGCUAGCUACAAUCGUCAUAGGCAAGAUAUCGUAUUAUAUUGCAAUUUUUAUAACUACAAUAUUCUCAUAUCACGUCAUUUACCAUUCC
Non-coding RNA from Pelobates cultripes (western spadefoot toad), 311 nucleotides. The record is from the annotation of a GenBank genome assembly. Lineage: Eukaryota; Metazoa; Chordata; Amphibia; Anura; Pelobatidae.